RNAcentral lists this ribosomal RNA (296 nucleotides) under uncultured microorganism. RNAcentral describes it as "partial 16S ribosomal RNA". It matches the Rfam family "Bacterial small subunit ribosomal RNA", at positions 505 to 796 of the family's 1533-position model. The record is from RNAcentral.
GUGCCAGCAGCCGCGGUAAUACGUAGCGCCGCAAGCGUUGAUCCGGAAUUAUUGGAGGCGUAAAGAGCUCGUAGGUGGCUUGUCACGUCUGCCGUGAAAACCCGAGGCUCAACCUCGGGCGUGCGGUGGGUACGGGCAGGCUAGAGUGUGGUAGGGGAGACUGGAACUCCUGGUGUAGCGGUGAAAUGCGCAGAUAUCAGGAAGAACACCGAUGGCGAAGGCAGGUCUCUGGGCCAUUACUGACACUGAGGAGCGAAAGCAUGGGUAGCGAACAGGAUUAGAUACCCUGGUAGUCC